GAUCUGAAGUUAGGGAGAAAUAUAUUGAAUUACAACCUUAGGGAUUAAUUGGCUGUUUGAGCCUAGAUAAGUCACUUUACUUCCCUCAGCCUCAGUUUCUUCAUUUGUUAAGUGGGGAUAAUAAUCAUUCUAGGUCUGUUGUAAGGAUAAAAUGAGAUGAAACUUUUUGAAAGCCUUUAGCCCCUAUGCAAAUUCUAGUUAUUAUUUUUUUACUGAAGUGUAGAAAGAAGUUGUAAUCUGUUUCAGGAGUGUAUACACUGGUGAAAUCAGAGAAGCUUAGAGUAUUGAGUUAAGACCAGGGAGCUGAUCUGCAUUAUAUCAUUGAGAAUGGGUUGGAAGGUAAAGUAAAUUAGAACCCUAAAACCAGGGCAGCUGGGUGCCACAGGGGAUACAGAACCAGUUCAGGAGUUGAGAGGACCUGAGUUCACAUCUGGAUACUUCCGAGCUGUGGCUCUUGUCCUAGGGAUAAAGCAGAACUGGUUUUAUCUUUAUUCUCUUCCUUACCUUUAUUCUGAGGGCUACAUGGUUAAUGAUUGGCCAUAUGAAGUCAGAAAGAGAGUACCAAACAAAGAAGAAACUACGACAGACUGGUGGGUCAGCAUCUCACCUUCACCUUGGCUCUGCACUGUCCAAACAAUUCCCUCAAGGGGAUGAUGAUGGUGAUGAGAAGAAAUUUCUGGAAGAAGAAUCAGUAGGAGCAGACACAGAGUUUGUUCCCUCCAAGGGCAAGCAGAGGGAAUCAUGAGUAAAGCCAUGCAGACCAAUGGGUAUAGUGACAUGAGUUCCUUGGAAACAACAAGGCAACAAGCACUCAAACAAAUGCCCUCUUCCUCAGUAACUAAUCAAGAUAAAAAGCAUUCCUGAAAAUCCCUUACCCACCCUCCUUAUUGUACUUUACCUUACCUUACCUAUCUCCUCACUUUUUUUUUCCCUAGUUACUCUGUUACUCUAUUCUCUCAUAAUAAAGCUUGUUCCC
Molecule: long non-coding RNA, 976 nt
Filed under: Monodelphis domestica (gray short-tailed opossum)
Lineage: Eukaryota; Metazoa; Chordata; Mammalia; Didelphimorphia; Didelphidae
Description: lncRNA (ENSMODG00000033300.2)
Source: RNAcentral